This 393-nucleotide ribosomal RNA is filed under the name Triticum aestivum (bread wheat). Its description in RNAcentral is "partial small subunit ribosomal RNA". Lineage: Eukaryota; Viridiplantae; Streptophyta; Magnoliopsida; Poales; Poaceae. The record is from RNAcentral.
AUGGUCUCCGCGGCGUCGGAGAUGGCAGACGCUUCGGCCGCGGCGGGCCCGUCCUCGUCGUCCGAGGCGUCGCCGCCGUUGAAGCAGUUGCAGCAGCGCGCGGUCGGGGCCCGCUCGCCGACGGUGCCGCCGCCGUCCUCCAGGAAGCUGCGGACCAUGCCGUCCAGGCACACCGAGCUGGGCUCCAAGUCAUCCUUCUCCUUGUCCUUCUCCCCGCCGGCGGAGACGGGCGGGAGCCGCUCCGCCGGCGAGACCCGCAGGACCUGGCGCUCGAACAGGCGCUUGAGCCGCGACUUGGCCAGCGCGGCGGGGGACGGGGACGGGGACGGAUCGAUCUGCGCCGCGGCGGCCCUCAUGGCGGCGGAAGCGAGCGGGCGGGGUGGGCGCGACUAG